This 272-nucleotide ribosomal RNA is filed under the name uncultured prokaryote. RNAcentral's name for it is "partial 16S ribosomal RNA". It matches the Rfam family "Bacterial small subunit ribosomal RNA", at positions 524 to 794 of the family's 1533-position model. The record is from RNAcentral.
UACGUAGGUGGCGAGCGUUGUCCGGAUUUACUGGGCGUAAAGGGAGCGUAGGCGGACUUUUAAGUGAGAUGUGAAAUACCCGGGCUCAACUUGGGUGCUGCAUUUCAAACUGGAAGUCUAGAGUGCAGGAGAGGAGAAUGGAAUUCCUAGUGUAGCGGUGAAAUGCGUAGAGAUUAGGAAGAACACCAGUGGCGAAGGCGAUUCUCUGGACUGUAACUGACGCUGAGGCUCGAAAGCGUGGGGAGCAAACAGGAUUAGAUACCCCCGUACGU